Molecule: ribosomal RNA, 253 nt
Filed under: uncultured bacterium
Lineage: Bacteria
Description: partial 16S ribosomal RNA
Rfam family: Bacterial small subunit ribosomal RNA
Source: RNAcentral
UACAGAGGUCUCAAGCGUUGUUCGGAUUCAUUGGGCGUAAAGGGUGCGUAGGUGGCGCUGUAAGUCGGGUGUGAAAUUUCGGAGCUUAACUCCGAAACUGCAUUCGAUACUGCAGUGCUUGAGGACUGGAGAGGAGACUGGAAUUCAUGGUGUAGCAGUGAAAUGCGUAGAGAUCAUGAGGAAGACCAGUGGCGAAGGCGGGUCUCUGGACAGUUCCUGACACUGAGGCACGAAGGCCAGGGGAGCAAACGGG